Molecule: non-coding RNA, 73 nt
Organism: Stegodyphus mimosarum
Lineage: Eukaryota; Metazoa; Arthropoda; Arachnida; Araneae; Eresidae
Source: Rfam
GCCUUCAUGGUGUAGUAGUCAGCACGCUCGGGUCGUAUUCGAGAGGUCCGUGGUUCGAGUCCCGGAGAGGACA